GAUGAACGCUGGCGGCGUGCCUAAUACAUGCAAGUCGAGCGAACGGACGAGAAGCUUGCUUCUCUGAUGUUAGCGGCGGACGGGUGAGUAACACGUGGAUAACCUACCUAUAAGACUGGGAUAACUUCGGGAAACCGGAGCUAAUACCGGAUAAUAUUUUGAACCGCAUGGUUCAAAAGUGAGAGACGGUCUUGCUGUCACUUAUAGAUGGAUCCGCGCUGCAUUAGCUAGUUGGUAAGGUAACGGCUUACCAAGGCAACGAUGCAUAGCCGACCUGAGAGGGUGAUUGGCCACACUGGAACUGAGACACGGUCCAGACUCCUACGGGAGGCAGCAGUAGGGAAUCUUCCGCAAUGGGCGAAAGCCUGACGGAGCAACGCCGCGUGAGUGAUGAAGGUCUUCGGAUCGUAAAACUCUGUUAUUAGGGAAGAACAUAUGUGUAAGUAACUGUGCACAUCUUGACGGUACCUAAUCAGAAAGCCACGGCUAACUACGUG
This 497-nucleotide ribosomal RNA is filed under the name uncultured bacterium. RNAcentral describes it as "partial 16S ribosomal RNA". It matches the Rfam family "Bacterial small subunit ribosomal RNA", at positions 28 to 507 of the family's 1533-position model. The record is from RNAcentral.